CCUACGGGUGGCAGCAGUGAGGAAUAUUGGUCAAUGGGCUUACGCCUGAACCAGCCAAGUCGCGUGAGGGAAGACUGCCCUAUGGGUUGUAAACCUCUUUUGUCAGGGAGCAAUUGGCGCUACGUGUAGCGUUAUCGAGAGUACCUGAAGAAAAAGCAUCGGCUAACUCCGUGCCAGCAGCCGCGGUAAUACGGAGGAUGCGUGCGUUAUCCGGAUUGAUUGGGUUUAAAGGGUGCGUAGGCGGAAUGUCAAGUCAGCGGUAAAAUCGCGGGGCUCAACCGCGCUCCGCCGUUGAUACUGGCAGUCUUGAGUGGGCGAGAGGGAUGCGGAAUGCGUGGUGUAGCGGUGAAAUGCAUAGAUAUCACGCAGAACUCCGAUUGCGAAGGCAGCAUACCGGCGCCCGACUGACGCUGAAGCACGAAAGCGUGGGUAUCGAACAGGAUUAGAUACCCUAGUAGUC
Molecule: ribosomal RNA, 460 nt
Filed under: uncultured bacterium
Lineage: Bacteria
Description: partial 16S ribosomal RNA
Rfam family: Bacterial small subunit ribosomal RNA
Source: RNAcentral